Molecule: non-coding RNA, 2538 nt
Organism: Schizosaccharomyces pombe (fission yeast)
Lineage: Eukaryota; Fungi; Ascomycota; Schizosaccharomycetes; Schizosaccharomycetales; Schizosaccharomycetaceae
Source: the annotation of a GenBank genome assembly
GUUUUUUAAUCUUAUUUUUACUAAAACACUUAGUCUUGAGAAUUUUCACGAUUUCCCAUAAUCGUAACUUCCAACAACCACUGCUUUCUCCUCCAAACAUUGAUUAAAGAUCCGUUUACUUUUAUAACUUCGUUUAUCCACCAGCACUUAUUACCUGGCUGUCCCCAUAGCUUCAAAAUUUUACUCAAAAAUUCUUCGCUUAAUGAGGAGCUCUCGACUGUUGUUAUGAUAUACGACAUUAAGCUCAUUAAUUUUGGCUCCUUUACUCUCUUGGCCCAUUUAUCGUUGUAGCGAAAUCCACAAUGCUGUAAUGCAUCAACUAGCGGUCCAUCACUCAGCCCUUUUCGGAUUUUUUUUUUGUCUGCACUUUCAAAAACGUCGUUGUUCUUGAAAGUUUGCUCUAAUAAGUCGCUCCUGAUUUUUUGGUCGACGGGCUUUUUAUUUUCAGAAAAUAAAUAGAUAUUGCAACAUUCUGUUAAGAAUAAAACGAGGGUAGUAUUCGAUAUAGGAUUAAAUGCAAUUUUUGAGGGAUAAGCAUUAUUACUUUUUUUAAAUAAUGGUAGAUAGGUGUCCAAAAUCCAUUUACAAAUGGAAGGGUCGAUUUUGUGGCAUUUGAAACAUGAUGAGACAUCACCUCCCUCAUGUUUUAAAAGCAGAUGAAACCCAUUAGGAAAUAGAAGUGCCAACACGGUAGUUGGUAAUAUUGGAAGUUCAACGCGAUCAAUGACUAUUAGUUUGCCCCGGAUGUUGAAAUGUAUUUUUUCUGGAAAAAACUUUAAAUUACUUUCCAGUGUAUUGGCUAAAGUGUCAACCGUAUUGAUUCGAUCAAUUGGAACUGACAUUUUUGUGUUCUAUUUUUGUAACGAUUAUGUUAUAAAAGAAUGUUCAUUUUUUAUUUACAAGAUAUCACCAAUGCAUACUUGGCUUUUGGUAAAAAUGUUAGGUGCAAAUUUCUAAAGGAUCGCCAAUAGCGGAAGCUAUCGGAAAGGUCUUACAAAAUCUUUUACGCGCAAUAGUAAAAACAGGUAGAAAAAGCCAUUCGUCGGUUAAGAGAGCUCUUUGGGCAUUCUUUGUUACGUGUAAAACUUUUUAUUGUAUUUUUUUCCAUUUCAAUACCCAACUGGUAUAUCCAAAAUUCAGUCCACUAAAGUAUGUCGGAUUCUAAUAAAAAUGCACUACCAUCAUAGAUCAACAAAAUAUAUAUUUAAUAGUGACAGAGGUAAUAUAAAUAUAAAGAUAAAUAAGUACACUUAUAUAUGUAACAGUUACUCAAAGCAUUACUUUUCUUUCUGCGAAUGAUUGAUAAGCGACAGUCGAUUAAACAAAGUUAGGGCAAUUCAUAAACCGGUUUUAUUAUAUUAUAUAUAAAAUUUUUACAAAAAUGCUAGCACGAAUAUAUCCCAACCGAUCCUAUGCAUAUUCGUACGUCAAGCCUUGGAGAAUUUGGUGAAUAAACAACCCGAAAGAUUCUCCCCGAAUUAUUGGUGGCAGAGUCGGUUUUCUUAAUUAAUGCUAAUCUCGUACUGAUGUUAUUAGUCCAAACGAGACCAAGAGAUGGUAUUUUGGGAUUUGGAUCUGUGUCAUCCCAUCCCGAAAACCAUUGCGAUUGAUAAUCUAAACUAAACAACCCAAUAGCAUCAUAAUCUCUAGGAAUUCUAUCGCUAACUUGGUUAGCUAUGACAACAGCAGCUUCAUGUUGAUGAGCUAAAGUGCGUAGAGUCAUAGCUAACUUUCCCAAUUGAUUUCCACGUUUGGCAAUAUUAUCUAAAUCUCUAAAAUGACUUUUGGAUCGGUUGUAACGGAGCUCAGCUCUGUAGUUGGAGGCGACACUAUCCAAUAUAACCAACCCAAUUUUAUCCCGAUUGAAUAAAAUCGGCAGUUGAUACUGAAUGAUAUGUUCUUGAGAUUCCAGAUCUGGGCAUAAUAUAGUAUACACCCUAUCUCCUGGAUUUUUUAUAAUUAUGUCUUUCUUAUCAGCUUUGGGAUACCUUUCUGGUAAAUAACGCGCCAGUUCAAAUAAUCGUUUUGUUUCAAGACCGGACUCUGUAGAAAUGAAGACAGCUGCUUUGUUCAUUCCUCCUAAACUGAGAGGUAGUUGAACCAUUAAACAAAGCUGCAUACAAAACUGUGACUUCCCUGAACCGCUUUCACCACAUAUUUCAGUUAACUGUCCUACUGGUAUACCUCCAUGUAGAGUUUCAUCCAACUUUACAUCGCCAGUUGUCAAAUAUUUCGAAGUGACUUUGGAAGCAGAACAUCUUACUGGUUGAAGAAGGAGGGAUAUCUGCUCAAUUAACUGUAAUAACUCACUUUGACUACAAUGUGUGCGUCUUUCUAGCUCAGUAAUAUCCAGCGUUAACAAAUCAACCGUGCUUACUUCUCCUAAAGCUGUCAGUAAUUCCGUCUUUUAAGAUCCCGGUACAAAAACCCAAUAUUUUUUUUUUAUGUGCAAGCUUAUUGAACUACUAAACGCUUACCUAAUUCAAAUGCUGAAGCAAUUUUCUCAUCAAAGUAGAAAUUGUCAACAUAAUUCGAAAU